UACGUAGGGUGCAAGCGUUAAUCGGAAUUACUGGGCGUAAAGCGUGCGCAGGCGGUUAUGUAAGACAGAGGUGAAAUCCCCGGGCUCAACCUGGGAACUGCCUUUGUGACUGCAUAGCUAGAGUACGGUAGAGGGGGAUGGAAUUCCGCGUGUAGCAGUGAAAUGCGUAGAUAUGCGGAGGAACACCGAUGGCGAAGGCAAUCCCCUGGACCUGUACUGAAGCUCAUGCACGAAAGCGUGGGGAGCAAACAGGAUUAGAUACCCUGGUAGUCCACGCCCUAAACGAUGUCAACUGGUUGUUGGGUCUUCACUGACUCAGUAACGAAGCUAACGCGUGAAGUUGACCGCCUGGGGAGUACGGCCGCAAGGUUGAAACCCAAAGGAAUUGACGGGGACCCGCACAAGCGGUGGAUGAUGUGGUUUAUUCGAUGCAACGCGAAAACCUUACCCACCUUUGACAUGUACGGAAGUCGCUAGAGAUAGCUUCGUGCUCGAAAGAGAACCGUAACACAGGUGCCUGCAUGGCUGUCGGUCAGCUCGUGUCGUGAGAUGUUGGGUUAAGUCCCGCAACGAGCGCAACCCUUGUCAUUAGUUGCUACAUUCAGUUGGGCACUCUAAUGAGACUGCCGGUGACAAACCGGAGGAAGGUGGGGAUGACGUCAAG
RNAcentral lists this ribosomal RNA (664 nucleotides) under uncultured prokaryote. Its description in RNAcentral is "bacterial SSU rRNA". It matches the Rfam family "Bacterial small subunit ribosomal RNA", at positions 524 to 1189 of the family's 1533-position model. The record is from RNAcentral.